CAGCUUUACACAUGGAUGCCACUGGGAAGAAAGCACAUCAAGUAACCCUGCUGAGGAAUGAAUGAAUCAGCCUAAUGCAAAUUAGCCACAAGCCAACGAACGCCUGGAGCCACUAGAAGCUGAAAGAAGCAAGGAAGAAUUCCCUCCUAGAGCCUUCAGUGGAAGUGUGGCCCUGUUGACACCUGGAGUUCGGAUUUCUGCCCUUUGGAACUGUGAGAAGAUAAAUUUCAGUUGUUG
Molecule: long non-coding RNA, 237 nt
Filed under: Homo sapiens (human)
Lineage: Eukaryota; Metazoa; Chordata; Mammalia; Primates; Hominidae
Description: PREDICTED lncRNA (TCONS_00246541)
Source: RNAcentral